Molecule: transfer RNA, 87 nt
Filed under: Phrynosoma platyrhinos (Desert horned lizard)
Lineage: Eukaryota; Metazoa; Chordata; Lepidosauria; Squamata; Phrynosomatidae
Description: tRNA-OTHER
Source: RNAcentral
GCCCUGGUGGCACAGUGGUUCAAUGCCUGUACUGCAGCCACUCACUUGCAAACCAUAAGGUUGCGAGUUCAAUCCCAGCCAGGGGCU